Molecule: long non-coding RNA, 298 nt
Filed under: Malus domestica (apple)
Lineage: Eukaryota; Viridiplantae; Streptophyta; Magnoliopsida; Rosales; Rosaceae
Description: long non-coding RNA (MDOM_LNC014646)
Source: RNAcentral
GGUGGAGCCCACGGGCCCACGAUCGGGUUCAAGGGUAGAGAUGUGCCGUUGAAGGCCUGGUCAUGACGUCAUAGGCGGGGCUUACUGAUUGUUCAGCUCCCCUGCAAGAUUUGUUUAUCCCAUGGAACCAUGGAAGAACCUUGUUUGUCAGAGAGUGCGGCCAACUUGCUCUGUCAAGGGUAAAUUUGUCAUUUGGAAUGACGAAGAUAUUUUUCAACCUCCCGUGUACUUAUUCUUUCGUCAUUUCUUAUUUGGUUGUACAUGCACACAUUUACGUCGGGUGUGGUGCGAGGCCCUU